Long non-coding RNA from Hypanus sabinus (Atlantic stingray), 3795 nucleotides. RefSeq lists it as uncharacterized. The transcript is spliced from 3 exons. The record is from RefSeq and is a predicted model, not a curated record. Lineage: Eukaryota; Metazoa; Chordata; Chondrichthyes; Myliobatiformes; Dasyatidae.
AUUGUGUUGGCAAGGUUGAGCAUGGCAUUAGCUCUACAUGUGACAUACAAAGCCAGUAAAGCUGUCACUGAAAUCUUGAGCCUUUAAAGCACCUUAGACUUCGAUAAUACUACUUGAUCUCACCAGUAUUGUACACGUGGAGUCGAGACCAAAGGCAAUGUUCAUACCAAACGAAGUUCGUCAGUAAGAAUAGCAGCCAAUGCCUUCAUUGCCAUAAUGGGAAAACUACACAGGGUGACAAGUGUGGAGUGGGUUUGCUUGACCUACAGGGUUUCCAUUCAACUGAUGCAUUUGACCUUUUGAGUUGAUAGAUACUACGCUAUAUAAUAAACUAAAAAUGAUUGAGUAGAUACAGAAUUCAAUCUCAAAAUUAGAUAUUUAUAGGCAGCAGUCAGCUGGUGGACAAAAACGAUGACAAAAGCAGCAAUAUCGCUGUUGUGGUUCUCUUGGGAAAAUGAAAGGAUGAGUUUAGGUGUGGUUAAAGGGAAUCCCAGAGAUCUCGCCUGUAACAAAACAGCAACAGUAGUGGGAAUACAGUCAGGAACGCUCCCAGUUGGCAGCCUGCCAUUUAUGCAUCUAUCCUGGGCUUCUCAGCUGAAUUUGUAAUUGCUAAUCUGAAAAAAAAACACCUCAGGAAUCUCCUGGCAUGGCACAGAGAUUUAACAAGUUCUUUGUAAACUAUUAACACUCAGUUCACUAGGCUACAACAAUCAUUUCAGUAGCUGAGAUUGUGCAAACAUGCUACAUCUCUGACAAUGUCUUCCAGGAGAAACACCCACAUUUUCCCUAGGACAAAACCAUUCACACAGUUCUUCAAUCUACUAGCAGCUGCCAAUCCUCCCAGUCAAACAGAGAGAAAAUAAUGCAAGUAAUAGAAAUGGAAACAAUAUUGAAGCCGAUCCUUGCUUGUCUACCCUUCCUACCAAUGAACACACAUAGCAGUGCAAAAUGAUCUUUUUUAAAAUUUCACUUCAAAUUCUUUUAAUGAAUCGUACAAAUGAUAAGGGGGGAAAACAGAAGCCUUUUUAAAUCCAUUGACAUGUUCAACCCAGCGGAAGAACCCGACACCGUGGCCCUUCCCAACUGAGCUGCACGAAGCUUCAGUACAUCCGUCAGAAGGUACUCCUACAGCUUGGAAUGUACUAGUCAGCAGCAUCCCUCUACGGACAGCUAAUGACCCAUGAAGUGUGCUGGAGACAACACUUUUACCAUAAUAUCAGAGUGGGAAGACGCUAACUGCUCUCCUCUGCCUCUUCUACACCUACAAAACGUGAUGAAACGAUCUACAUGGAUGGCAUGCAAAACAAUAUUUUUCACUGAACCUGAUAAAUAUUUCUGGUGGCACCAUUAAGGCAGUGACUCAUGUGAACAACUCCAAUGGAAAUCUUUAAAUAUUCCUGUUUUAGACUCCUACAGCUGAAAUCCACAACUACAGCCAUGGACAAUCCAAUAAGCAAUAUCGUUUCAAGGCUUUUUUAAAGAAAAUCUUUCACUGCUCAAAGUCAACAAACCUUAGAUGGCGGUCUCCUAUUGCAAAUGUUUUUCCCCUUUAAGACAGUGAAAGAACAGAUGCCAUGCUGGAUUGAAACUUUGUUUAAUGAAGAGAGGAUUCUGACUUCCACUACUGUCUAUUCUGCUGACAAAUGGUCUCUGGGAAAUAAAAAUUGAAGACUUCAGAGCAAGAUUGCUGUACCAGAGGGACAUCAGAGACUGUUAUGUUGUUUUUUUUUGUUUCACAGAAACUUAGUUAUUCUCCAUCAUUCCAGACACAAAAAUACAGCUUGCUGGUUUCACGAUUCACUGCCAAAAUAGGACUGCUGAGUCUUUCAAAGGCAGAGUGGGUGCAGAAUGCUUUAUGAUCAACUCCUUGGGCUGCAAAAAUGUGGCAGUUCUGUCCCAAUCCUGCUCAUCUGACUUGGAACAAAUAGCAGUCAAGUGUCACCCACUUUGUAUGCUGUCAGACUUUUCAGCCAUUAUCUUGAUAGUGGGGUACAUUAGAUUAAACUAGGCUCUGGGCGAACUGAGAAACUUAAUCAAUUGUCAUGAAGUAGCACACCCUGAUGCCUUCCCUGUCAUUCUGAAGGACUUUAACCAGGCUAGCUUGAAAAAGUCUCUAAAUAAUUAUCACCAACAUAUCACAUGUGCAACCAGAGAAGAUAACACACUGGACCACUGUCAUACAACUAUCAAGAGUGCUUACCAUACCAUCCCACACCCACAGUUUGGGAAAUUUGUUCACCUAGCUGUAUUCCUACUCCUCGACUAUAAGCGGAGACUGAAGACCACAGCACCAGCAGAGAGGACCAGGAAGGUAUAGACAAUGGAGACAUCAGAAUGUCUUUCAAAAGGGUGAACUCUCACAAGAUAACGUGCCCCUUUGGUGUACCUGAUAGAACUCUAGGAUCCUAUGCCAACCUGCUGGCAGGCGUGCUCGAAGACAUUUUCAAUCUCUCAUUGCUGUAGUCAGAAGUUCCAUCUGCAUCAAAAGGGCAACAAUCAUACCAGCACCCAAGAAGAGCAGCGUGAGCUGCCUUAAUGGCUGUUGUCCAGUACUACUCACAUCUACGGUGGUGAAGUGCUUUGAGAGGUUGGUUAUGGCUUGAAUCAACUCCAGCAAGGACCUGGACGACUGCAAUUUGUCUGUUGUCAUAGUGAAGACAAUCUAAUUGACUCUUCAUGUGGCCAUGGAUCACUUGGACAAUAAUACUUGUGUCAGACUGCCGUUUACUGGCUACAGCUCAGCAUUUAACACAAUCACUUCUACGAUUCUGAUCAGAAAUUUCAAACCUGGAUCUCUGUACCUUUCUCUGCAACUAGAUCCUCUAAUCCUCAGAAGAUCAGAGUUUGUGCAGAUCAGAAACAACAUCUCCAGUUCAUCUCAAGGAUGUGUGUGCCCUCUCUACAUCCGUGACUGAACGGCUAAGCACAGCUCAAAUGCCAUCUAUAAACUUGCUGCAACACAACUAUUGCUGCAGGAUUUCAGAUGGUGACGAGAAGGCGUACAGGAGUGAGAUAGAUCAGUUGGUUGAAUGGUGUCGCAGCAAUAAACUGGCACUCAACAUCAGUAAGACCUAAUACUUGAUUGUGGACUUCAUUAAGGGCAAGGCAAGGGAGCUCACACCAGCCCUCGCUGAGAGAUCCAAAGUGGAAAGUAUGAGGAGUUAAGUUCCUGGGUGUUAACAUCUCUGAGGAUCUAUCCUGGGCCCAACAUGUCUGUGCAGUUACAAAGGUGGCACAAUGGCGGCUAUUGUUCAUUAGCAGUUUGAGGAGAUUUGUUCUGUCACCAAAGACACUCGCAAGUUUCCACAGAUGGACCAUGGAGAGCAUCCUAACUGACUGUCUCGAAUGGAGGAGCCUCAGUGACUGUGAGCUCAGUCAGCUCCAUCACAGGCACUCACCUCCCCAGCAUCCAGGACACCUUCAAGGAGCGAUGCCUCAAAAAAAAAAGGCAGCUUCCAUCAUCAAGGACCCCCAUAUCCCAAGACAUGCCUUCUUCUCAUUGCUACCAUCUGGGCGGAGGUACAGAAGCCUGAAGGCAUACCCUCAAUGAUUCAGGAAUAGCUUCUUCCCCUCUGCCAUCAGAUUUGUGAAUGGACAUUGAACCGAUGAAUACUACCUCAGUACUUUUCCCCCCCUCUUUUUGCACCAAUUUAAUUUAACUUUUUAAUAUGGCAAAACACUUACUACUGCCAUUUACAGCUUUUAUGUAUUGCAAUGUAUUACUGCCACAUAACAAAUUACGAGACAUAUGCUGAUGAUAUUAAGUAUGAUUCUGAUACGAUAGUAAUAAACUGA